GAUGAACGCUGGCGGCGUGCCUAAUACAUGCAAGUCGAGCGAACAGACGAGGAGCUUGCUCCUCUGACGUUAGCGGCGGACGGGUGAGUAACACGUGGAUAACCUACCUAUAAGACUGGGAUAACUUCGGGAAACCGGAGCUAAUACCGGAUAAUAUAUUGAACCGCAUGGUUCAAUAGUGAAAGACGGUUUUGCUGUCACUUAUAGAUGGAUCCGCGCCGCAUUAGCUAGUUGGUAAGGUAACGGCUUACCAAGGCGACGAUGCGUAGCCGACCUGAGAGGGUGAUCGGCCACACUGGAACUGAGACACGGUCCAGUCUCCUACGGGAGGCAGCAGUAGGGAAUCUUCCGCAAUGGGCGAAAGCCUGACGGAGCAACGCCGCGUGAGUGAUGAAGGUCUUCGGAUCGUAAAACUCUGUUAUUAGGGAAGAACAAAUGUGUAAGUAACUAUGCACGUCUUGACGGUACCUAAUCAGAAAGCCACGGCUAACUACGUG
This 497-nucleotide ribosomal RNA is filed under the name uncultured bacterium. RNAcentral's name for it is "partial 16S ribosomal RNA". It matches the Rfam family "Bacterial small subunit ribosomal RNA", at positions 28 to 507 of the family's 1533-position model. The record is from RNAcentral.